Molecule: long non-coding RNA, 334 nt
Filed under: Populus tremula
Lineage: Eukaryota; Viridiplantae; Streptophyta; Magnoliopsida; Malpighiales; Salicaceae
Description: long non-coding RNA (PTRE_LNC000719)
Source: RNAcentral
UCAGCUCAACUAAACAAAUAAAAUUGAACCCCAACAGUGUGGAUCCAUUACCUAUACUGAACAAAGAGCACAUCCCAAAGCAGUAUCAGUCCUCAACUUUUCUUCUAUGUCUGCAAGUAUCAAAAAUGAAUUAAAUUACCAUAUGUAGAUCAUAGAAGAAAUGAAAAGAUGUAAUGAGGGGAGAAAACACUAACUAGAGUAAUUACAUGUACAGAGUAUAUAAACAACACUGGCAAAUCAGAUGCCCCAUAACCGUUCAAAAUGAUGGAACACAAUUCUUCUGGUUUCUGACCGAGGAGAAAUGGUCAUAAAUUAGUUGUUUGGUGGAUCAUCC